UACGAAGGGUGCAAGCGUUGUUCGGAAUUACUGGGCGUAAAGCGCGCGUAGGCGGGUCUGUAAGUCGAUUGUGAAAUACCUGGGCUUAACCCGGGAAUGGCAGUCGAAACUGCAGAUCUUGAAUGUCUGAGAGGAUGGCGGAAUUCCCGAUGUAGUAGUGAAAUACGUAGAUAUCGGGAAGAACACCUGAGGCGAAGGCGGCUAUCUGGCGGUACAUUGACGCUGAUGCGCGAAAGCGUGGGGAGCAAACAGG
This 253-nucleotide ribosomal RNA is filed under the name uncultured bacterium. Its description in RNAcentral is "partial 16S ribosomal RNA". It matches the Rfam family "Bacterial small subunit ribosomal RNA", at positions 524 to 776 of the family's 1533-position model. The record is from RNAcentral.